This 1101-nucleotide long non-coding RNA is filed under the name Numida meleagris (helmeted guineafowl). RNAcentral describes it as "lncRNA (ENSNMEG00000022036.1)". Lineage: Eukaryota; Metazoa; Chordata; Aves; Galliformes; Numididae. The record is from RNAcentral.
CUCUUCUCUCUUCUCUUCUCUUCUCUUCUCUUCUCUUCUCUUCUCUUCUCUUCUCUUCUCUUCUCUUCUCUUCUCUUCUCUUCUCUUCUCUUCUCUUCUCNGCGGGGGGGUCCCUCGGGGGUCCCCGUUGAGGCGGAGGCGCCGGGGGUCGAGGUCCGGGCCGGGGGGGGGUCCGGGGGGGUCGGUGCCCCCCGGGAAACUGCAGCUCCUGGAGCGUUUCUUCACCAGCCCGGCCCCUUCGGCCUCGUCCUCCUCAUCUUCAUCCUCCUCGGGGUCACGUGGGGGUGCCGCGAGGUCACGUGGAGGGGGCCCGGGGUCACGUGAAGAGGGCCCCGGCUCGCCUAAGGGAGCCUCGGGGUCACGUGGGGACCUGCUGGGGUCACGUGGGGAGAGCCCCGGCUCGCCUAAAGGCGCCUAUGGGUCACGUGGGGAAAUCUUGGGGUCACGUGGGGACUUCCUGGGGUCACGUGGCGACCUCCUGGGGUCACGUGGGGAGAGCCCGGGGGGCUUCGGGGAGAGCCUGGGGUCACGUGGGGACGCUUCGAGGUCACGUGGGGGCGACGCGAGGUCACGCGGGGACGCCCCGGGGUCACCUGAGGGCGCCUUUGGGUCACGUGGGGAUCUCCUGGGGUCACGUGGGGACGCGUCGAGGUCACGUGGGGACAUCCCGGGGUCACGUGGGGGUAUCCUGGGGUCACGUGGGGACAGCCCGGGGGUCUUCGGGGACAUCCCGGGGUCACGUGGGGACAGCCCGGGGUCGCCUAAGGGCGCCUCGGGGUCACGUGGGGACAGCCCGGGGUCACGUGGGGACGCCUGGAGGUCACGUGGGGGCUGCCGGGACCCCCUCCUCGGGGACCCCUCGGGGUCACUCGGGGUCGUUCGUCCCCUCCCCCCCCUCCCGUUGGGGGACCCCCCGGGGUCACGUGGCGGACUUUGGGGGUCACGUGGGGACACCCCGGGGCUCUUCGGGGACGUGCCGGGGUCACGUGGGGGCGCGGGACAUCCCCCAUCCCCCCCCCAGGGGAGGGGACCUCCCCUCCCCUCCCCAUAUUCUCCUAUUCUUCACUGUCCAAGUCUCCACACAGCUUCUUAUAUCCUCAU